GGUGAGUAACACGUGGGUAACCUGCCUCGAAGUGGGGGAUAGCCAUUCGAAAGGAAGAUUAAUACCGCAUAAGCUUGCAGCAUCGCAUGAUGCAGCAAGAAAAGGAGCAAUCCGCUUCGAGAUGGACCCGCGGCGCAUUAGCUAGUUGGUGAGGUAACGGCUCACCAAGGCCACGAUGCGUAGCCGACCUGAGAGGGUGAUCGGCCACAUUGGAACUGAGAUACGGUCCAGACUCCUACGGGAGGCAGCAGUGGGGAAUAUUGCACAAUGGGCGGAAGCCUGAUGCAGCAACGCCGCGUGAGUGAUGAAGGCUUUCGAGUCGUAAAGCUCUUUGAUCAGGGAUGAUAAUGACAGUACCUGAAAAACAAGCCACGGCUAACUACGUGCCAGCAGCCGCGGUAAUACGUAGGUGGCGAGCGUUGUCCGGAAUUACUGGGCGUAAAGGAUGCGUAGGUGGAUAUUUAAGUGGGAUGUGAAAUCCCCGGGCUCAACCCGGGAACUGCAUUCCAAACUGGAUGUCUAGAGUGCAGGAGAGGAAAGCGGAAUUCCUAGUGUAGCGGUGAAAUGCGUAGAUAUUAGGAGGAACACCAGUGGCGAAGGCGGCUUUCUGGACUGUAACUGACACUGAGGCAUGAAAGCGUGGGUAGCAAACAGGAUUAGAUACCCUGGUAGUCCACGCCGUAAACGAUGGGUACUAGGUGUAGGAGGUAUCGACCCCUUCUGUGCCGUCGUUAACACAAUAAGUA
This 746-nucleotide ribosomal RNA is filed under the name uncultured bacterium. Its description in RNAcentral is "bacterial SSU rRNA". It matches the Rfam family "Bacterial small subunit ribosomal RNA", at positions 105 to 866 of the family's 1533-position model. The record is from RNAcentral.